RNAcentral lists this ribosomal RNA (478 nucleotides) under uncultured bacterium. Its description in RNAcentral is "partial 16S ribosomal RNA". It matches the Rfam family "Bacterial small subunit ribosomal RNA", at positions 28 to 523 of the family's 1533-position model. The record is from RNAcentral.
GACGAACGCUGGCGGCGUGCUUAACACAUGCAAGUCGAACGGUAAGGCCCUUCGGGGUACACGAGUGGCGAACGGGUGAGUAACACGUGGGUGAUCUGCCCUGCACUUCGGGAUAAGCCUGGGAAACUGGGUCUAAUACCGGAUAGGACUCCUGGCUUCAUGGUUGGGGGUGGAAAGCUUUUGCGGUGUGGGAUGGGCCCGCGGCCUAGUAGCUUGUUGGUGGGGUAAUGGCCUACCAAGGCGACGACGGGUAGCCGGCCUGGGAGGGUGACCGGUCACACUGGGACUGAGAUACGACCCAGACUCCUACGGGAGGCAGCAGUGGGGAAUAUUGCACAAUGGGCGCAAGCCUGAUGCAGCGACGCCGCGUGAGGGAUGACGGCCUUCGGGUUGUAAACCUCUUUCAGCUAUGACGAAGCGCAAGUGACGGUAGCAGCAGAAGAAGGACCGGCCAACUACGUGCCAGCCGCCGCCGUAA